Molecule: small RNA, 5300 nt
Filed under: Pongo abelii (Sumatran orangutan)
Lineage: Eukaryota; Metazoa; Chordata; Mammalia; Primates; Hominidae
Description: processed transcript
Source: RNAcentral
AAAGAGCACCAUUUCUGUCAAGGCCAUCUGUGACUAUCGGCAGAUCGAGAUUACUAUUUGCAAAAAUGAUGAAUGUGUGCUAGAAGAUAAUUCUCAGCGGACCAAAUGGAAAGUGAUCAGCCCCACAGGGAACGAGGCAAUGGUGCCAUCAGUCUGCUUCCUCAUCCCCCCACCCAAUAAGGAUGCCAUUGAGAUGGCCAGCAGGGUCGAACAAUCUUAUCAGAAGGUGAUGGCCCUUUGGCACCAGCUACAUGUUAACACCAAAAGCCUUAUGUCUUGGAACUAUCUGCGUAAAGACCUUGACCUUGUACAGACCUGGAACCUAGAAAAGCUUCGAUCCUCAGCACCAGGGGAGUGCCAUCAGAUUAUGAAGAACCUUCAGGCCCACUAUGAAGACUUUCUGCAGGAUAGUCGUGACUCUGUGCUGUUCUCAGUGGCUGAUCGCUUGCGCUUGGAAGAGGAGGUGGAAGCUUGUAAAGCCCACUUCCAGCACCUGAUGAAGUCCAUGGAGAAUGAGGACAAAGAGGAGACUGCGGCCAAGAUGUACAUUUCAGAGUUGAAGAACAUCCGACUACGCCUGGAGGAGUAUGAACAGAGGGUGGUCAAACGAAUUCAGUCUCUAGCCAGCUCUAGGACUGACAAAGAUGCCCGGCAGGACAAUGCAUUAAGGAUUGCAGAGCAAGAGCACACCCAGGAGGAUUUACAGCAACUGAGGUCAGACUUGGAUGCAGUUUCUAUGAAAUGUGACAGCUUUCUCCAUCAGUCUCCAUCUAGUUCAAGUGUCCCAACUCUGCGCUCAGAACUGAAUCUGCUGGUGGAGAAGAUGGACCAUGUCUAUGGUCUCUCUACUGUAUAUCUGAAUAAGUUAAAGACAGUUGAUGUUAUAGUACGUAGCAUACAGGAUGCUGAACUCUUGGUCAAAGGUUAUGAGAUUAAGCUGAGUCAAGAAGAAGCAGUACUGGCAGAUCUCUCAGCUCUGGAGGCCCAUCGGUCGACAUUACGGCACUGGCUUAGUGAUGUGAAGGACAAGAAUUCAGUGUUUUCAGUCCUGGAUGAGGAAAUUGCCAAGGCCAAGGCAGUGGCAGAGCAGAUGAGUCGUCUGACACCAGAGCGAAAUCUGGAUUUGGAGCGCUAUCAGGAAAAAGGCUCCCAGCUGCAGGAGCGUUGGCACCGAGUCAUUGCCCAGCUCGAGAUUCGCCAAUCUGAGCUAGAAAGUAUCCAGGAAGUUCUGGGAGAUUACCGAGCCUGCCAUGGAACUCUCAUCAAGUGGAUUGAGGAAACCACUGCCCAGCAGGAAAUGAUGAAGCCAGGCCAGGCAGAGGAUAGCAGAGUGCUUUCAGAGCAGCUCAGCCAGCAGACAGCCCUAUUUGCAGAAAUUGAGAGAAAUCAGACAAAACUGGAUCAAUGUCAAAAAUUUUCCCAGCAGUACUCUACUAUUGUAAAGGACUAUGAAUUGCAACUGAUGACAUACAAGGCCUUUGUGGAAUCGCAGCAGAAAUCCCCUGGCAAGCGCCGUCGCAUGCUUUCCUCUUCAGAUGCCAUCACUCAAGAGUUCAUGGACUUAAGGACUCGCUACACGGCAUUGGUGACUUUAACAACGCAGCACGUGAAAUACAUCAGUGAUGCACUCCGGCGUCUGGAGGAGGAGGAGAAAGUGGUAGAAGAGGAGAAACAAGAACAUGUGGAGAAGGUUAAAGAACUUUUGGGCUGGGUGUCUACCCUAGCGAGGAAUACACAAGGAAAAGCUACCUCAUCCGAGACCAAAGAAUCAACAGACAUUGAAAAAGCUAUUUUGGAACAGCAGGUUCUGUCAGAAGAGCUGACAACAAAGAAAGAACAAGUCUCUGAAGCUAUUAAAACAUCACAGAUCUUCUUGGCCAAGCAUGGUCAUAAGCUCUCAGAAAAAGAGAAGAAACAAAUAUCUGAGCAAUUGCAUGCCCUAAACAAGGCUUACCAUGACCUUUGUGAUGGUUCUGCAAAUCAGCUUCAGCAGCUUCAGAGCCAGUUGGCUCACCAGACAGAACAAAAGACCCUGCAGAAACAACAAAAUACCUGUCACCAGCAACUGGAGGAUCUUUGCAGUUGGGUAGGACAGGCAGAAAGAGCACUGGCAGGCCACCAAGGCAGAACCACCCGGCAGGAUCUCUCUGCUUUGCAGAAGAACCAAAGUGACUUGAAGGAUUUACAGGAUGACAUUCAGAAUCAUGCCACCUCAUUUGCCACUGUUGUCAAGGACAUUGAGGGGUUCAUGGAAGAGAAUCAGACCAAGCUGAGCCCACGUGAGUUGACAGCUCUUCGGGAAAAGCUUCAUCAGGCUAAGGAGCAAUAUGAGGCGCUCCAGGAACAGACACGUGUGGCCCAGAAGGAACUGGAGGAAGCAGUGACCUCCGCCUUACAGCAGGAGACUGAAAAGAGUAAAGCAGCAAAGGAACUGGCAGAGAACAAGAAGAAGAUCGAUGCUCUCCUGGAUUGGGUAACUUCAGUAGGAUCAUCUGGUGGACAGCUGCUGACCAACCUUCCAGGAAUGGAGCAGCUCUCGGAAGCUAGCUUGGAGAAAGGAGCCUUGGACACCACUGAUGGUUACAUGGGAGUGAAUCAAGCCCCAGAGAAACUGGACAAGCAACGUGAGAUGAUGAAGGCCCGUCACCAAGAAUUGCUGUCCCAGCAGCAAAAUUUCAUUCUGGCCACCCAGUCAGCUCAGGCCUUCUUGGAUCAGCAUGGCCACAAUCUCACACCUGAGGAGCAACAGAUGCUGCAAGAGAAACUGGGAGAGCUAAAGGAGCAAUACUCUACUUCCCUGGCCCAAUCAGAGGCAGAACUGAAGCAGGUGCAGACACUUCAGGAUGAGUUGCAGAAAUUUCUGCAGGAUCAUAGAGAGUUUGAAAGCUGGUUGGAACGAUCUGAGAAAGAGCUGGAGAACAUGCAUAAGGGAGACAGCAGCCCCGAGGCCCUUCCCUCCCUGCUAAAGCGGCAAGGAAGCUUCUCAGAGGAUGUCAUUUCCCACAAAGGAGACUUGAGAUUUGUGACUAUCUCAGGACAGAAAGUCUUGGACAUGGAAAACAGUUUUAAGGAAGGCAAAGAACCAUCAGAAAUUGGAAACUUAGUAAAGGACAAGUUGAAGGAUGCAACAGAAAGAUACACUGCUCUCCACUCAAAGUGUACACGAUUAGGAUCUCACCUGAAUAUGCUGUUAGGCCAGUAUCAUCAAUUCCAAAACAGUGCUGACAGCCUGCAGGCCUGGAUGCAGACUUGUGAGGCCAACGUGGAGAAGCUCCUCUCAGAUACUGUUGCCUCUGACCCUGGAGUUCUCCAGGAGCAGCUUGCAACAACAAAGCAGUUGCAGGAGGAAUUGGCUGAGCACCAAGUACCUGUGGAAAAGCUCCAAAAAGUAGCUCGUGACAUAAUGGAAAUUGAAGGGGAGCCAGCCCCAGACCACAAGCAUGUUCAAGAAACUACAGAUUCCAUACUCAGCCACUUCCAAAGCCUCUCCUACAGCCUGGCUGAGCGAUCUUCUCUGCUGCAGAAAGCAAUUGCCCAAUCUCAGAGUGUCCAGGAAAGCCUGGAGAGCCUGUUACAGUCUAUUGGGGAAGUUGAACAAAACCUGGAAGGGAAGCAGGUGUCAUCACUCUCAUCAGGAGUCAUCCAGGAAGCCUUAGCCACAAAUAUGAAAUUGAAGCAGGACAUUGCUCGGCAAAAGAGCAGCUUGGAGGCCACCCGUGAGAUGGUGACCCGAUUCAUGGAGACAGCAGACAGUACCACAGCAGCAGUGCUGCAGGGCAAACUGGCAGAGGUGAGCCAGCGGUUCAAACAGCUCUGUCUACAGCAGCAAGAAAAGGAGAGCUCCCUAAAGAAGCUUCUGCCCCAGGCAGAGAUGUUUGAACAUCUCUCUGGUAAGCUGCAGCAGUUCAUGGAAAACAAAAGUCGGAUGCUGGCCUCUGGAAAUCAGCCAGAUCAAGAUAUUACACGUUUCUUCCAACAGAUCCAGGAGCUCAAUUUGGAAAUGGAAGACCAACAGGAGAACCUAGAUACUCUUGAGCACCUGGUCACUGAACUGAGCUCUUGUGGCUUUGCACUGGACCUGUCUCAGCAUCAGGACAGGGUACAGAACCUCAGAAAAGACUUCACAGAGCUACAGAAGACAGUUAAAGAGCGAGAGAAAGAUGCAUCAUCUUGCCAGGAACAGUUGGAUGAAUUCCGGAAGCUGGUCAGGACCUUCCAGAAAUGGCUGAAAGAAACUGAAGGGAGUAUUCCACCUACAGAAACUUCUAUGAGUGCUAAAGAGUUAGAAAAGCAGAUUGAACACCUGAAGAGUCUACUAGAUGACUGGGCAAGUAAGGGAACUCUGGUAGAAGAAAUCAAUUGCAAAGGUACUUCUUUAGAAAAUCUCAUCAUGGAAAUCACAGCACCUGAUUCCCAAGGCAAGACAGGUGAGUACAGGCUCUUCAAAAUAUAGUGAAUAAAAAUUGCUCUUUGCUUUUGGCCUUUGGAAAUGCCUCCUUAUAUAAUUAAAGUGAAAAUCAAGGUUGAGUAUGAAAACAAAGGGCAUGCCCAAAGCAGUCUUCCCCUGCAACCUGACCUGUCACCCCUUUUGCUAUAUAACAUUGCUCCAUUUUGCAAAAUUCCUUCUCAUGAUGGGAAAAGUAAAUGAACUAGUUGUCCCACUUAGAACUAUCCAAUGAACAUAGAAUAAUUAAAAUAAGAUUUUCAUCUUGAGAAUUUCCCUUUUUUGAAUGUGUAAAUGGGAUGGGUAAGCAUCAUCUUUAAACUUGGGCACUGGCCAGGCACGAAGUCAGCAGAUCAAAACCAGCCUGGCCAACAUGGUGAAACCCCAUCUCUACUAAAAAUACAAAAAUUAGGCCAGGUGCGUCAGCUCACGCCUGUAAUCCCAGAACUUUGGGAGGCCGAGGCAGGCGGAUCAGAAAGUCAGGAGAUUGAGACCAGUCUUGGCUAACACGGUGAAAUCCCAUCUCUACUAAAAAUACAAAAAAUUAGCCACGCGUGGUAGCGGGUGCCUGUAGUCCCAGCUACUCAGGAGGCUGAGGCAGGAGAAUGGUGUGGAGCUUGCAGUGAGCCAAGAUCACGCCACUGCACUCCAACUUGGGCAACAGACAGAGCGAGACUCUGUCUCAAAAAAAAAAAAAAAAAAAAAGCCGGGCAUGGUGGCACGUGCCUAUAGUCCCAGCUACUCGAGAGUCUGAAACAGGAGAAUAGCUUGAACCUGGUAGGUGGAGGUUUCAUUGAGUCAAGAUCGUGCAUGCACUCCAGCCUGGGCAACAGACAGAGUGAGACUCCGUCUCAGG